AACGCUAGCUACAGGCUUAACACAUGCAAGUCGAGGGGAAACGACAUCGAAAGCUUGCUUUUGAUGGGCGUCGACCGGCGCACGGGUGAGUAACGCGUAUCCAACCUGCCCAUCACUUGGGGAUAACCUUGCGAAAGUAAGACUAAUACCCAAUGAUAUCUCUAGAAGACAUCUGAAAGAGAUUAAAGAUUUAUCGGUGAUGGAUGGGGAUGCGUCUGAUUAGCUUGUUGGCGGGGUAACGGCCCACCAAGGCAACGAUCAGUAGGGGUUCUGAGAGGAAGGUCCCCCACAUUGGUACUGAGACACGGACCAAACUCCUACGGGAGGCAGCAGUGAGGAAUAUUGGUCAAUGGGCGAGAGCCUGAACCAGCCAAGUAGCGUGAAGGAUGAAGGUCCUAUGGAUUGUAAACUUCUUUUAUAGUAGAAUAAAGUGAGCCACGUGUGGUUUUUUGUAUGUAUACUAUGAAUAAGGAUCGGCUAACUCCGUGCCAGCAGCCGCGGUAAUACGGAGGAUCCGAGCGUUAUCCGGAUUUAUUGGGUUUAAAGGGUGCGUAGGCGGAAUAAUAAGUCAGUUGUGAAAGUUUGCGGCUCAACCGUAAAAUUGCAGUUGAUACUGUUAUUCUUGAGUGUACAUAAGGUAGGCGGAAUUCGUGGUGUAGCGGUGAAAUGCUUAGAUAUCACGAAGAACUCCGAUUG
Molecule: ribosomal RNA, 696 nt
Filed under: uncultured bacterium
Lineage: Bacteria
Description: bacterial SSU rRNA
Rfam family: Bacterial small subunit ribosomal RNA
Source: RNAcentral